This 253-nucleotide ribosomal RNA is filed under the name uncultured bacterium. RNAcentral's name for it is "partial 16S ribosomal RNA". It matches the Rfam family "Bacterial small subunit ribosomal RNA", at positions 524 to 776 of the family's 1533-position model. The record is from RNAcentral.
UACGUAGGGGGCUAGCGUUGUCCGGAAUCAUUGGGCGUAAAGCGCGCGUAGGCGGCCCGGUAAGUCCGCUGUGAAAGCCGGGGGCUCAACCCUCGAAUGCCGGUGGAUACUGUCGGGCUAGAGUGCGGAAGAGGCGAGUGGAAUUCCUGGUGUAGCGGUGAAAUGCGCAGAUAUCAGGAGGAACACCAAUUGCGAAGGCAGCUCGCUGGGACGUAACUGACGCUGAGACGCGAAAGCGUGGGGAGCAAACAGG